CAGCAGCCGCGGUAAUACGUAGGGUGCAAGCGUUAAUCGGAAUUACUGGGCGUAAAGCACACGCAGGCGGUUUGUUAAGUCAGAUGUGAAAUCCCCGAGCUUAACUUGGGAACUGCAUUUGAAACUGGCAAGCUAGAGUCUUGUAGAGGGGGGUAGAAUUCCAGGUGUAGCGGUGAAAUGCGUAGAGAUCUGGAGGAAUACCGGUGGCGAGGGCGGCCCCCUGGACAAAGACUGACGCUCAGGUGUGAAAGCGUGGGGAGCAAACAGGAUUAGAUACCCCGGUAGUCCCUGUCUCUUAUAC
RNAcentral lists this ribosomal RNA (301 nucleotides) under uncultured bacterium. RNAcentral describes it as "partial 16S ribosomal RNA". It matches the Rfam family "Bacterial small subunit ribosomal RNA", at positions 509 to 807 of the family's 1533-position model. The record is from RNAcentral.